RNAcentral lists this ribosomal RNA (473 nucleotides) under uncultured organism. RNAcentral's name for it is "partial 16S ribosomal RNA". It matches the Rfam family "Bacterial small subunit ribosomal RNA", at positions 331 to 796 of the family's 1533-position model. The record is from RNAcentral.
GUACACUCCUACGGGAGGCAGCAGUGGGGAAUAUUGCACAAUGGGCGCAAGCCUGAUGCAGCCAUGCCGCGUGUAUGAAGAAGGCCUUCGGGUUGUAAAGUACUUUCAGCGGGGAGGAAGGCGAUAAGGUUAAUAACCUUGUUGAUUGACGUUACCCGCAGAAGAAGCACCGGCUAACUCCGUGCCAGCAGCCGCGGUAAUACGGAGGGUGCAAGCGUUAAUCGGAAUUACUGGGCGUAAAGCGCACGCAGGCGGUCUGUCAAGUCGGAUGUGAAAUCCCCGGGCUCAACCUGGGAACUGCAUUCGAAACUGGCAGGCUAGAGUCUUGUAGAGGGGGGUAGAAUUCCAGGUGUAGCGGUGAAAUGCGUAGAGAUCUGGAGGAAUACCGGUGGCGAAGGCGGCCCCCUGGACAAAGACUGACGCUCAGGUGCGAAAGCGUGGGGAGCAAACAGUAUUAGAUACCCUAGUAGUCC